This 398-nucleotide ribosomal RNA is filed under the name uncultured bacterium. RNAcentral describes it as "bacterial SSU rRNA". It matches the Rfam family "Bacterial small subunit ribosomal RNA", at positions 361 to 776 of the family's 1533-position model. The record is from RNAcentral.
AUUUUGGACAAUGGGCGAAAGCCUGAUCCAGCAAUGCCGCGUGAGUGAUGAAGGCCCUAGGGUUGUAAAGCUCUUUUACCAGGGAUGAUAAUGACAGUACCUGGAGAAUAAGCUCCGGCUAACUCCGUGCCAGCAGCCGCGGUAAUACGGAGGGAGCUAGCGUUGUUCGGAUAUACUGGGCGUAAAGCGCACGUAGGCGGCGCCGUAAGUCAGAGGUGAAAGCCCGGGGCUCAACCCCGGAAUUGCCUUUGAAACUGGCGGACUAGAAUCUUGGAGAGGCGAGUGGAAUUCCGAGUGUAGAGGUGAAAUUCGUAGAUAUUCGGAAGAACACCAGUGGCGAAGGCGACUCGCUGGACAAGUAUUGACGCUGAGGUGCGAAAGCGUGGGGAGCAAACAGG